GCACGAUGCCGAGCGGCACCGCUUCCCCGCCGUUCUCGGCGACGGAGGCCGCGACGAUGGCGCCGUUCGAAUCGUAGAUCGCGCCC
RNAcentral lists this transfer RNA (86 nucleotides) under Methylorubrum podarium. RNAcentral describes it as "tRNA-Glu". Lineage: Bacteria; Pseudomonadati; Pseudomonadota; Alphaproteobacteria; Hyphomicrobiales; Methylobacteriaceae. The record is from RNAcentral.